This 1026-nucleotide ribosomal RNA is filed under the name Triticum aestivum (bread wheat). RNAcentral's name for it is "partial small subunit ribosomal RNA". Lineage: Eukaryota; Viridiplantae; Streptophyta; Magnoliopsida; Poales; Poaceae. The record is from RNAcentral.
AUGUCGAUGAGGAGUUGCUAUUCUUCUUCUCCUUUCCUCCGUGGGAUCUCUAGAGCGGCGUGGAGGCACGCGGUGGCCGGCACUCCGAGUCUGAGCGGCAGCCACAAUCUGUGCCACUUGCCCCUCCGGCCUCGCGUGCCGCCCAUCGCCCUCGGCCUUGCUGGACGCUUCUUCUCUUCCUCCUCAUCCAAAUCCAAGCGCUCCACCAAGAAAUCUGCCGCAAAGAAGGACACGCCGACGGGCUCUGCCGGCGGCGGCCAGUUCUAUGUCGUCCGCAAGGGGGAUGUCAUCGGCAUCUACAAGGACCUCGCCGACUGCCAAGCUCAAGUCAGCAAUUCGGUCUGCGAUCCUUCAGCGACCGUGUACAAAGGCUGCUCUCUGCGUAAAGAAACCGAGGAGUAUCUCGCAAAGCGUGGGCUAAAGAAUGCUCUGUAUUCGAUCAACGCAGCAGAUGCAAGAGAUGAGUUGUUUGAUGCUCUGGCUCCCUGCCCUUUCCAGCAGCCUGAUGGAAUUGCAUCCUCUGCUUUGGAAACCGGACCAUCAAAGAAGCAUCCCAAAGUCGCUGAACAGGAGCCGUUACCUGAUAGUCAUCUGUCCUGCAUUCUCGAGUUUGAUGGUGCUUGCAAAGGAAACCCUGGGAAAUCAGGUGCCGGCGUGAUAAUCAGGCGACCGGACGGAUCCGUGAUCGCUCACCUACGCGAGGGUUUGGGUAUUGCAACAUGUAAUGCCGCUGAAUAUCACGCAUUGCUCCUGGGGUUGAGGUAUGCUGCUAACAAGGGAUUCAAGUACGUUCGUGCUCAAGGCGAUUCUAAGCUUGUCUGUAACCAGGUCCAGGAUCUCUGGCGUGUUAGGAAUGAUAAUAUGGCUGACUUGUGCAAGAAAGCUAAGGAGCUCAAGGGAAAGUUUCUUCAGUUUCAGAUCAACCAUGCUUUGAGGAAAUUUAAUGCAGAUGCUGAUGCCCAAGCUAACUUUGCUGUUGAACUUCCUGUUGGUGAAGUUCAAGAGCAGACAAACUUCCCAUGCUAG